Salvia miltiorrhiza (redroot sage) is the source of this 2261-nucleotide long non-coding RNA. RefSeq lists it as uncharacterized. The record is from RefSeq and is a predicted model, not a curated record. The transcript is spliced from 2 exons. NCBI's taxonomy places the organism in Eukaryota, Viridiplantae, Streptophyta, Magnoliopsida, Lamiales, Lamiaceae.
AAUUUAAUAAUAAAAAUGUAAGGGCCUAAAUAUACUUGAAAAUAAUUUACUACUUUAUAAGAUCUAUAAAAAUAUUGGUUUAUGUAAUAAAAUACAAAUAAAAUAUUUUCUUAUGAAAAAUCAGCUCAACUUUAGAUCUAAAACUAAAUCCGAAUUAUAAUUCUGAACAGAUUCAAAUUUAAUUAAAAAGCAAACUCAAAAUUUUAAUUAAUAAAGUAAACCCCAAGUUUAAACAUAUUACUACUUCAGCCCAUAAUAAAAUUAACUUAAUUAGGCCAAACCAUUUAAGGCCCAAUCUCAUUCUCUCUCAUAAAUCACGUCAACACCUCCCCUUAAUCCCCUAUUUUAUUAUUCUUCACCUCACCAACUCACACACACAGAUCACACGAUAGUAUGACACACACACCAGCACACACACUCAUUGUCCCUCCCUCUCUCCUCCGGCUCCUCCGCCGCCGCCGGAGUCGUGUGAAGGGUUGUAUACUGAAAGCAAGACUUUAUGCUUGUAUACAUUGAUUCCUUAGUUCACUGUGAUUCUUCUAUCUGAAAUAUUGUUAUUGCAUAAUACUAUUAUAGUCCAAUUUAUCUCAUACUAUAGAUUAUAUGGUGUAUUGUAGAUCACAAAAUAUCAUAUAAUUGGAAAAAGUUGAGAUAUAAAUUGAGUUCACAAUUAAGGCAACUAUGGACGAGUUGCUGGUUUAGAUUGUAGCAUAAAUGAAUAAAUAGUUUGUCUUGGCUAUUUAUUUAUGCUAGUACCUUCGUGUAUUGAACAGGAUCACAGUGAGAUGAAUUCUUAUAUUCUGACUUAUUAAGAAUCAAGAUCUCGGUGACUUAAAUAAUCUUAACCUUAAUUGAAUUAAUCGGUGUGAAUAAUUAAUUGACUAUUGCUUUGAUUUAUCACGGGUGAGAGUUCUCUUGAAGCUCAAUAUACUCGAUACUUUGGGUGAUAGCAAUUAUUAUUUGACAUGCGAUUAUAUUGUAAUAAGGGUCCGUGUCCUGCUAAUAACAGGAUGAUAAUAUCCUCUCGAGGAACUUAAUAAGUUUAUCGUAUUAAACCCUGUAGGUGAAAUUAGUUCCGAUACGAUAAUAAGUUUAAGUGGUAGCACUCGAGAUGUCAUUUAUAAUUAAACGACUGAUUAAUUAAUUAAUUGAUCGUCAGAGGAAUUAAUUAAUUAAUGGAUGUUGGAUAUCUUAAACACGGAGAUUAAUUAAGUCUAAUGCUAGCCCCGACUCACUUAAAGAAUAGAGAGGUAAAUCAGUAUUAAUUUUCUAGUAGAAUAAAUUAAUACUUGUGUCUCGAUUUUAUUCUGGGCUGAAUAAGAAAAUCGAACACUGGGAGGCCAAACUUUAUUCAAGCUAGUAGAUCCCCGCUUGGCCCAAUUAAGGUUUGUACUCCUUAAGUGGGCGUCCCUCUCCUCACUUAAGCCUUUGGGCUUGGUCUGAUUUAAUUAUGUUUAUGGACUUAUUAUUUAGGUGUGACUAAUACCUAGUAUAAAUAAUAAGACAACCCUAAACCUAAUUAAUAAUUCAUUCACGUGAGAGCAGAAUAGGGAGGAGGAGACGCCAACUUUGAGGGAGAGGACUUGAAGAUAGUUGCCACCCAACGUCAAGUCUUACCGUGGGAACAAGUUGGAAGAUCAACACUGGAGUCUCUCAUCGCCGAAAUUGCAAAAGGGGUUAAAGAGGAACAGAGGAAAAGAAGAAUUUCAGAGAGGAGAAGAAGAAUUUGAAAAGGAACAGGGGGCAGAGGGAGACGGCAUGGAAUGGCGGCCAAUCGCCGGUCCUCGUCGGCCCCUCGGCAGCGGCAGUAGUUCUCUUACAGAUGGAGAAGGAGAUCGCGAGAGAGAGAGAGAGCUAGGGCUCGGUUUAGGAGAAGAUUUCCAUCUGAGUUUGCAGCGAGAAAAGAAAUGGGUCGGAGGUGAGAGGUGGCGCUGGAGUUUAGGGCCGCAGAGGCGGAUCUGUCGCCGGAUUUUGAGAAGCAACGACAGUGAGAUUUGGGGAAGGAAAGCAACGACAGCGAGAUUUGGGUGAGAAUUUAACAUCAACGUUUCAACCCACUUUUUUUAACAAUAAAUGCCACACGUAUUGCUAGAUCAUUAAAUAAUUGUCCACGUCGUUGUCGGUCAACUUUAAUCAUAGUCGGAGUUCUCGCCGUGUGUGUGAAAAUUGCAAUUAAAUCAAAAGUUUAUGUAUUAUGGAGUUAUUUUUUAAGAUCAUGUAUAAAAUACAAAUUUGAUGAAACUUCGUGUAUUUUCCAGCCA